RNAcentral lists this long non-coding RNA (3326 nucleotides) under Marmota monax (woodchuck). The record is from RNAcentral. Lineage: Eukaryota; Metazoa; Chordata; Mammalia; Rodentia; Sciuridae.
GGUCCUUUUCAAGGUCACAUUUUUUUGCAUUCUUGCGCUUUCUGUUGGGGAUUUCACAGCUUGUAACAAACAGCCCAGGGAGGGCACCAAAGUGCCCUCUGGUUCAGAGGCUGCGCUGUACCUUCUGGAGGAAAAGCGUGUGCCGGAGAAGCUUCGGUCAGAUGUGAGUCACGCAGUGAGUUCAAAGAAGGAGCCCACGCCCACGUGCAGCCAGGUGGACUUAGAUAGGAAGCCUGAGCAGACGUUGAGCUUUGAUUAGUGUCAGGCCAGGGCUCGCAGGCACCUAUUUUUCUGGAGAGCGAUGGUUCAGGGCUCACCCAUGUGGGGCCUGCAUCACCUUACAACAUAACUGCUGCAGAUCACGGGAAGCAACCCUGUGUGUUGCACAUUUUUCUCUCAGAGAUGGCCUGCCUGUUUUUUGAGGGGUGGUUCUGGGAACCACGGAGGUGGUGCUUAACCACGGAGCCACAUCCCCAGCCCUUUUGUAUAUUUUAUUUAGAGACGGGGGUUUCUUUGCUAAAUUGCUUAGCUCCUCGCUAAGUGGCUGAGGCUAGCUUUGAACUCGCGAUCCUCCUGCCUCAGCCUCCCUAGUCGCUGGGAUUGCAGGUGUGUGUCACCGCGCCUGGACUGUUCAUUUUCUUAAUGGUGCAUUUUGGUGGACAGUAGUUCAGAUUUUGAUGAAAGCUAACUUACCUUUAUUUCAUUUAUUUAUUUUUAUGUGGUGCUGAGGAUGGAACCCAGGGUCUUGCACAUACAAGGCCAGCGCUCUGUUGCUGAGCCACAACCCCAGCCCCUUUAACUUUUAUUUUGGGUCCACAAUCCCUCCCCCAUUCUUCUCCACAUGGAGGUGAGGCGGGGGUCAAAGUUCUUUUUUUCCUACUGAUAAACCCACAUUGAAACGAUUCUAUCAUUUCACCUGAGCGUAGCCCAGUGUGUAUCUGCCUUGGUUUCAGCUGCCAUAACAAAAUGUCACAGACUGGGUGUUUUAAACAACAGAAAUUUAUUUAUCACAGUUCUUGAGCCUAGAAGUCCAACAUCAAGGUGUCUGGUGUGGACCGGUUUCCUGGUUUACAGAUGGUGCCUCUUGCUGUGUCCUCACUUGGCAAAGGGUAGAGAACUAGUGAGAUCACUCUCCCUCUCUCUCUCUCUCCCUCUCUCUCUCUUAAUAAAGGGCGUUAAUCUCACUAAUAAGGGCUCCACCUGUGUGACCUGGUCACCUCACAAUGUGUCCACCUCCUAAUACCAUAGGGUUUUGACACCUGAUCGUCAUUGCACUUCAGUGCACUAACAUGCAUAACAUGACACUCUGCAGAUGCAGCACCUAUUCAAAGCCUUCUGUGACCACGGCCUCCCCUCAGCAGAGCCUCGCUCGGGCCUCUCCUAUGAACCAACUUCAUAGACCACCAAGGCUUAGGGGGAAAGAGUCAGGCUGGACACAUCCUUCAAACCACAGGCAGCUGCCCGGCAGGUUUUCUCUGCGUUGGCUCUUCUGACCCUUCACUGGUUUUUGGAGUAAAUUCCAUGAGAAGUAAGUGUCAGUCAAAGCGUUAUUUAACUCACAGCAUCAGCUAUUCAGAGUUUAGAGUCAGGAGGCAGCCCUUUUUCUAGAUAUUUACACUUUUCUAAGAUUCAUGUUGUUGGAAUCAUCUUGUGAACACAUCCACCGAUUGUUGUUUAUCUCCUGCUGCGUGCCAGGGACCAAUUCUGGUGCUUAAACGGGUGAGGCACCUGUCAUCCUAGCUCCUAUUCUUGUUGGGCUGAGACACACUAAGCAAUUUAUUAUUUCAUUAUUCAAGUGACAGUGAUGCUAUCAUCCAAAAAGAGCUUCGAAAGGGAGGUCCAGGGAGCCAUCAGGUUGUUCUGCAAGGGGACUUGACCUUAUUUGAAAGGCAGGGAAAUUUCUGUGCCUUUAAAUUCUGAAUUCCAAAGGGAGAGAGGGAUUAUCUAGAUGAGGUGUACAUUGGGUUAAGAGGCACAGAGGGGACUCCAGGUGGAGCGAGUGGUAUGUGCAAAGGCCCUGAGGUGGAAGGAACUCUGGAACACUGGGAUUGGAGCUAUGGAAGGAUGAGGGAUGGGGGAAGACCUCAUGGGUAGGUGAGGCUGGAAGGCAGCUAGGCAUGAAGGUUAGUCACAGUCUUGCUUUGCCUUUAAAUGCAGCAGGAUCUAACAGAACAUUCUGCAUUGGGACAAAAUUCUCUGUCUUUAGUGUUUAUCAAGGUGGCAGCAGCCCCACAUAGUACGGAGCCCACCGUCUGUGGCUCCUGUGAUGGAGGAACUGAAGUUUAAAUUUCAGCAAAGUAAAAUUUAAAUAGCACCUAGAACUUGUGGCCACCAAAUUGAACAGUCUAACUAGAGCAAUGACCAACCAUCGAGAGCUCAGAGCAGGGAGAUGGUGCCGUCAGAACCGCACUGGGCUUCCCUAUUUGCUGCCCACUCUGGCUCCAGUGUGGACCUUGCAGGGACCAGUGGACACAUCUCCAGGGUUAGUUGAGGAAUCCAUGAGGGCUUACUGACCUCAGGUGCACGGUGCAGUGAGAAGUCAUGGGCUGGUUUAGCAGGUGUUUGGCAGUUAGAGUAGCUGUGGUCUCUGAUGGUGCACAGGAGGGGGGACAGGCUAGGAGAGUCCCUGUCCCCUUUCAGAGAGGACGCUCAGGUCCCCAGCAGAGUAGACUUCCCAAGUGCACAGCUUCUGGGCUCCAAGGAAAGGACUGAGCUGCUGGAAUUUCUAAGAAAGUCAAGAGGAAGCUCAGUUACAUGAGGUAUCAAUAGAAAAAUGCACGCAGACAUUUUUUUUUAAAAAGUUCCCAGUAAAACCCUGACUUUCUUUCUCUCCCCUGAUUCCUGUUCAGCACUGGCAAUCUGCUCACGUAGCUGGAAUAACAUGAAUGGUCUUACUUGAUACUCUUAAACAUCAGCCCCAAACCCUCGGCUUGCUGAUGGACGUGUUUCCGUAUAUUGAAUGGUGCUCAGAAGUGUGACCUCAGGACUUUCCGGUUCCUGGGUGUGACGCUCUCCGUGUGUCUGCCCACCUCUCUGCUGUGACUCCAAGCUUCACAUUCUCACGCCCAGCCAGGCCACAGUCCAGAGUCAGCUCGCAGACCUGGGACCUAGAACCAUGGAAACCACAGCUUUCCACGGAGGGAUGUGGGGCCUGGGGAGUUCAACCAAAGAAAUAACUGAAAGAAGAAAAACAGGCGCAGGAAAAUACUUAUUGUGGCAUUAUCAGGAACAGGGGAAGCCAGGUCACAUGGCUGGCGUGUCCCACAAUGGGGGAGAGCAGGCAAAGGGGUCAUGUUGAAGGCCACGCAGUCACAUAGCAAAACGCC